Molecule: non-coding RNA, 101 nt
Organism: Mycena polygramma
Lineage: Eukaryota; Fungi; Basidiomycota; Agaricomycetes; Agaricales; Mycenaceae
Source: the annotation of a GenBank genome assembly
UCUUGACUAGUAUAUCGGUUAGUACACGCGCUUGUCAUGAUGCGUACACUUUAUACACUAUGUAUGUGCGCGAAAGCUGGGUUCGACUCCCAGGUCGAGAG